ACCGGGGCGACAGCAAUAUGAAGGUCAGGCUGAAGACCUUACCCGAUUAGCUGAGAGGUGGUGCAUGGCCGUCGUCAGUUCGUACUGUGAAGCAUCCUGUUAAGUCAGGCAACGAGCGAGACCCACGUCCACAGUUGCCAGCAUACCCUCCGGGGUGAUGGGUACACUGUGGAGACCGCCGCUGCUAAGGCGGAGGAAGGAGUGGGCAACGGUAGGUCAGUAUGCCCCGAAUCUCCCGGGCUACACGCGGGCUACAAUGGUUGGUACAAUGGGCAUCUACCCCGAAAGGGGAAGGAAAUCUCUUAAAGCCAAUCGUAGUUCGGAUUGAGGGCUGCAACUCGCCCUCAUGAAGCUGGAAUCCGUAGUAAUCGCGUUUCAACAGAACGCGGUGAAUACGUCCCUGCUCCUU
Molecule: ribosomal RNA, 409 nt
Filed under: uncultured Methanosaeta sp.
Lineage: Archaea; Methanobacteriati; Methanobacteriota; Methanomicrobia; Methanotrichales; Methanotrichaceae
Description: bacterial SSU rRNA
Rfam family: Archaeal small subunit ribosomal RNA
Source: RNAcentral